Molecule: long non-coding RNA, 734 nt
Organism: Camellia sinensis
Lineage: Eukaryota; Viridiplantae; Streptophyta; Magnoliopsida; Ericales; Theaceae
Source: RefSeq, a predicted model, not a curated record
UCCACGGUGAAACACAAUGCAAAUGCUCUCUCUCUCUCUCUCUCUCCAUAUUGUGUUUCUCUCUCUUCUCUCUUUCUCUUGAGUUUAUGAUUAACAACUAGCGCCAGUAGAAUGCAGUAGCUGAGUCAAACGCCCUCGUGCGCUACAGCCGAAUAAUUCAAUCAUAAGGCAGGCGAUACUCUCCGAUCUCGGCACAGAGAUAGUAUUCCCAGUGUGCAUCGGCAUCGGAAUUGUGUUCUCCUUAUUUCAGUGGGUGCUUGCCUCUAAAGUUAAGCUCUCACUAGAAAAACCCUCUUUUGCGACCGCGACGGUGAACAACAAGAACGGAGGCUCCACCGAGUCAUUGAUUGAGAACGAUGAAGGUCUUAAGGACCACAAAGUCGUCCAAAAAUGUGUCGAAAUUCAUAAUAAUAUCUCUGAAGGUUUCUUAUACAAUUUUUGUUUUUCUGCAUAAAAUAUUUCAUUUGCAAGGAAGAUGAGGGAUAAAUGUAGUCGCCUUCAUAGUCAGAGUUGCUGAUAGUUUCUAGAUCUGGAUUUGGCUUCUUCUUCUUCAAUCUGUUCAGAUCUAGUUUUUAUUUUUUUAUUUUUAUAUCUUUUUUGGGGUUAUCUGUUCAGAUCUAGUGUUGAGUUGUGCUCUGCACAGUUAAUGUAGAUGAGUUAUUUUUUGUAGUGCUUUGAACAUAUAGGAGUUGAUUCUGAUUUUGUUUGUAGUUUGUUGUUGCAGCUAAAAAUUA